CACGAUAGCAAGCAUAGGAAUAUACGUAGUAACCAAGAGGUAGCGGAUAAGGGUUCAGCUGUUGUAGUUUGGGACAGGGGUGAAUGAGGAAAACUAGAUUUAUUGAUGCUGGCAAUUACAUGCAAAUAGAUGUGCUUGGGUUGUAAAGCAAAUAAUGUUUCAAGUUGCAGUGAAGCCCAGAACAAUUUCAGUUUUCAGAGGCUACAAAAAUGGAGCUGAUGCAGAAUAUAGAAUGGACUGCAGUUAUGCUAGAAGAAGUUAUCGCCAACUGUUAAAUGCUUCACAAAGAGAAGGCAUCUGAUCAGGAAAUUGAACAAAAAUGUCAAAAAUUGGGAAGAAAUUUAAUUGAAAGACAAUAUUAUUUUGAAUUAUUAUUAACAUUUAGAGGAUUUAUAUAGUAAUAUUUCUCAGAAACGUUAUUUCUGAAUUAUUCCUGAAUACACUCUCAAAAUCUUUCAUGCUGUUGUGUAGCAAGUAUUAUUUUAAAGUAUAAUAUCCAGCCGUUUAGUGCAUUAUGCCGAAGCAUAAAGCGUUUAAUGCCGUAUAGGCAAAUCUGUAUACGCUUUGCGGUAAGGAACAGGAAACAAUUGGUAUUAACCUUUUUUAGAGGCUUUUAGCCUCCCAUGAUUUUGCCAACCCUGCUACUAUCUCAACAAGUUAGUACCGUUCUCCUUUCCUCAGUCAAUAUCGGUAUGUUAGGAGAGACAACGACAAAGACUAAAAAAUCUGAAUUACAACACUGCUUUUUACAUUAAUACAAUUCUCAGGCAACAGUCAUAACUUAUAAUCUUCUUAUUUGCUUAUCCUAAAAUUUCUUAGUUUCCUUUAUUGUGUCUCUAAGUAUAUUAAUUAUUUUAUCUUGCUAAUUAUUAAUCGUAAUUUUAACUUACCCUCUCCUGGAGCAAAUGCACCUGCAUUGAAAA
Molecule: non-coding RNA, 923 nt
Organism: Rhopilema esculentum
Lineage: Eukaryota; Metazoa; Cnidaria; Scyphozoa; Rhizostomeae; Rhizostomatidae
Source: RefSeq, a predicted model, not a curated record